GUCGAACGAACUGAUAGGAGCUUGCUCCUUGAAGUUAGUGGCGGACGGGUGAGUAACGCGUGGGUAACCUGCCCUAUGCAGGGGGAUAACGUUUGGAAACGAACGCUAAUACCGCAUAAACUAUCGGUAAUCGCAUGAUUACUAUAGUAAAGAUUUAUCGGCAUAGGAUGGACCCGCGUUGGAUUAGCUAGUUGGUGAGAUAAUAGCCCACCAAGGCGACGAUCCAUAGCCGGCCUGAGAGGGUGAACGGCCACAUUGGGACUGAGACACGGCCCAAACUCCUACGGGAGGCAGCAGUGGGGAAUAUUGCACAAUGGGCGCAAGCCUGAUGCAGCGACGCCGCGUGAAGGAUGAAGGUCUUCGGAUUGUAAACUUCUAUCAGCAGGGAAGAAUAAAUGACGGUACCUGACUAAGAAGCCCCGGCUAACUACGUGCCAGCAGCCGCGGUAAUACGUAGGGGGCGAGCGUUAUCCGGAUUUACUGGGUGUAAAGGGUGCGUAGGCGGUUUGUUAAGUCAGAAGUGAAAUUUAGGGGCUCAACCUCUAAGCUGCUUCUGAAACUGAUGGACUAGAGUGUAGGAGAGGAAAGCGGAAUUCCACGUGU
RNAcentral lists this ribosomal RNA (603 nucleotides) under uncultured bacterium. RNAcentral's name for it is "bacterial SSU rRNA". It matches the Rfam family "Bacterial small subunit ribosomal RNA", at positions 61 to 676 of the family's 1533-position model. The record is from RNAcentral.